This 463-nucleotide ribosomal RNA is filed under the name uncultured bacterium. RNAcentral describes it as "partial 16S ribosomal RNA". It matches the Rfam family "Bacterial small subunit ribosomal RNA", at positions 28 to 507 of the family's 1533-position model. The record is from RNAcentral.
GACGAACGCUGGCGGCGUGCUUAACACAUGCAAGUCGAACGGAAAGGCCUUUUCGGAGGUACUCGAGUGGCGAACGGGUGAGUAACACGUGGGUGAUCUGCCCUGCACUCUGGGAUAAGCCUGGGAAACUGGGUCUAAUACCGGAUAGGACCGCCCUUUAGUGUGUGUGGUGGAAAGUUUUUUCGGUGUAGGAUGAGCCCGCGGCCUAUCAGCUUGUUGGUGGGGUAAUGGCCUACCAAGGCGGCGACGGGUAGCCGGACUGAGAGGUUGGUCGGCCACAUUGGGACUGAGAUACGGCCCAGACUCCUACGGGAGGCAGCAGUGGGGAAUAUUGCACAAUGGGCGCAAGCCUGAUGCAGCGACGCCGCGUGGGGGAUGACGGCCUUCGGGUUGUAAACUCCUUUCGCCAGGGACGAAGCGUUUUGUGACGGUACCUGGAGAAGAAGCACCGGCUAACUACGUG